GCUCAACCGGGGAGGGUCAUUGGAAACUGGGGAACUUGAGUGCAGAAGAGGAGAGUGGAAUUCCACGUGUAGCGGUGAAAUGCGUAGAGAUGUGGAGGAACACCAGUGGCGAAGGCGACUCUCUGGUCUGUAACUGACGCUGAGGCGCGAAAGCGUGGGGAGCGAACAGGAUUAGAUACCCUGGUAGUCCACGCCGUAAACGAUGAGUGCUAAGUGUUAGAGGGUUUCCGCCCUUUAGUGCUGCAGCAAACGCAUUAAGCACUCCGCCUGGGGAGUACGGUCGCAAGACUGAAACUCAAAGGAAUUGACGGGGGCCCGCACAAGCAGUGGAGCAUGUGGUUUAAUUCGAAGCAACGCGAAGAACCUUACCAGGUCUUGACAUCCUUUGACCACCCAAGAGAUUGGGCUUCCCCUUCGGGGGCAAAGUGACAGGUGGUGCAUGGUUGUCGUCAGCUCGUGUCGUGAGAUGUUGGGUUAAGUCCCGCAACGAGCGCAACCCUUGAUCUUAGUUGCCAGCAUUAAGUUGGGCACUCUAAGGUGACUGCCGGUGACAAACCGGAGGAAGGUGGGGAUGACGUCAAAUCAUCAUGCCCCUUAUGACCUGGGCUACACACGUGCUACAAUGGGCAGAACAAAG
Molecule: ribosomal RNA, 637 nt
Filed under: uncultured bacterium
Lineage: Bacteria
Description: bacterial SSU rRNA
Rfam family: Bacterial small subunit ribosomal RNA
Source: RNAcentral